Molecule: ribosomal RNA, 253 nt
Filed under: uncultured bacterium
Lineage: Bacteria
Description: partial 16S ribosomal RNA
Rfam family: Bacterial small subunit ribosomal RNA
Source: RNAcentral
UACGUAGGUGGCAAGCGUUGUCCGGAUUUACUGGGUGUAAAGGGCGUGUAGCCGGGCUGACAAGUCAGAUGUGAAAUCCGGGGGCUCAACCCCCGAACUGCAUUUGAAACUGUUGGUCUUGAGUAUCGGAGAGGCAGGCGGAAUUCCUAGUGUAGCGGUGAAAUGCGUAGAUAUUAGGGGGAACACCAGUGGCGAAGGCGGCCUGCUGGACGACAACUGACGGUGAGGCGCGAAAGCGUGGGGAGCAAACAGG